Molecule: long non-coding RNA, 824 nt
Filed under: Durio zibethinus
Lineage: Eukaryota; Viridiplantae; Streptophyta; Magnoliopsida; Malvales; Malvaceae
Description: long non-coding RNA (DZIB_LNC000791)
Source: RNAcentral
AUUUAUCAAAUCUUAACGAUUUCUAUGCAAUGCAAUUCUAAUCAACUUCCAGUAGAAUUUAUUCAUUUUAAUUCAUUAACAACAGGGAUACAACUUAAGUGAGGACUUAGCCUUUUUUGUUCUUAAAUAUUGAAGCAUACUAAAAUUUACCAACUACAGGUUUCAUAAGACGCUACAACUGCUACUACCACUAGAAGGCUCCGGUGGAAAUGCUGGUGCGUCAGGGAUGUAAGGUCGGCUCAUGGCAUAUAUUUUAUGAGCAUCCUUUGGACAAGAUUCUUGAGGAGAUGGGCUCAUAUUUCCUGCAAAGUCAAACUGUUACACUCUUUACAUUGGUGUUUCAGAUUUGCCCUGGUCCUUGGAAAUUUAUACAGAUUUAUACUUUCAACCGUUUUUUAAUUCUGAAAAAGAGGAUUCGAACCCAACACUUUUGAAAAAAAAAAAAUUUGAUACAUGUAAUUAAUUAAGUUGGGGUAUAAAAGUAGAGCUUGGUAGGAAGGCAGUUUUUAUUAGAAAGACCCGUCAAACAAGUUUAGUACAAAGUAGCCUGAUCAGUUUGAGGCAGCAAUUGAUGGGGAGGCUGAAGACUUGGAGGAUGACCCUGUGAAAAUAGAAUGCCAGGUUGAGUAUUACCUUGCUGGCCGUGAUGGUUAUUGCCACUUGAAAGUUGCUGCUGGUUCUUGUCUUGGUUACUCAUCUGCUCCUGUUCAGAAUCUCCCUCUCCUGGAACUUCCUACUUUCUUCUUUCUCUACUUGUUGAUUGGAUUGGUCUUUUAAUUUCUUGAAGGAAAGAAGUUUAAAGAUGGCUUUGAAUUGUUUUGAUU